UGGGACUUUGGGUAGAAUUAGGCG
This 24-nucleotide microRNA is filed under the name Medicago truncatula (barrel medic). RNAcentral describes it as "mtr-miR5285b". Lineage: Eukaryota; Viridiplantae; Streptophyta; Magnoliopsida; Fabales; Fabaceae. The record is from miRBase by way of RNAcentral.